RNAcentral lists this transfer RNA (64 nucleotides) under Munidopsis lauensis. Its description in RNAcentral is "tRNA-Phe". The record is from RNAcentral. Lineage: Eukaryota; Metazoa; Arthropoda; Malacostraca; Decapoda; Munidopsidae.
ACUCUUGUAAUUUAUAUAGAAUAUUACAUUGAAGAUGUGAAAGGGGCUGUUGAGCCCGAGGGUG